RNAcentral lists this long non-coding RNA (536 nucleotides) under Ursus maritimus (polar bear). Its description in RNAcentral is "lncRNA (ENSUMAG00000023102.1)". Lineage: Eukaryota; Metazoa; Chordata; Mammalia; Carnivora; Ursidae. The record is from RNAcentral.
ACUCUUAAAGCAAUGCACUUUUUCUUUUAUUAUUAAAUUUAACUCUUUAUUCUAGGAACCCCAGGACUUCCUGGAGCAAAAGGUAUUAAUGGUCCUCCUGGGAACCCUGGCCUUCCAGGAGAACCUGGUCCUGUAGGUGGUGGAGGUCGUCCUGGACCACCAGGGCCUCCAGGUGAAAAAGGCAACCCAGGUCAAGAUGGUAUUCCUGGACCAGCUGGACAGAAGGGUGAACCAGGUCAACCGGGCUUUGGAAUCCCAGGACCCCCCGGACUCCCAGGACUUUCUGGUCAAAAGGGUGAUGGAGGAUUACCUGGCAUUCCAGGAAACCCUGGCCUUCCUGGUCCAAAGGGAGAACCAGGCUUUCAGGGUUUCCCUGGUGUGCAAGGUCCCCCAGGCCCUCCUGGUACUCCAGGUCCAGCUCUGGAAGGCCCUAAAGGCAACCCUGGGCCCCAGGGUCCUCCUGGGAGACCAGGUAUGUACAUGAGUGGUAGGGGAAUGGUCUGUUUAUUCGUUAAUUUAUUUCAUUUUGCUGGCAG